GACGAACGCUGGCGGCGUGCUUAACACAUGCAAGUCGAACGGAAAGGCCCUGCUUUUGUGGGGUGCUCGAGUGGCGAGCGGGUGAGUAACACGUGAGUAACCUGCCCUUGACUUUGGGAUAACUUCAGGAAACUGGGGCUAAUACCGGAUAGGAGCUCCUGCUGCAUGGUGGGGGUUGGAAAGUUUCGGCGGUUGGGGAUGGACUCGCGGCUUAUCAGCUUGUUGGUGGGGUAGUGGCUUACCAAGGCUUUGACGGGUAGCCGGCCUGAGAGGGUGACCGGCCACAUUGGGACUGAGAUACGGCCCAGACUCCUACGGGAGGCAGCAGUGGGGAAUAUUGCACAAUGGGCGGAAGCCUGAUGCAGCAACGCCGCGUGCGGGAUGACGGCCUUCGGGUUGUAAACCGCUUUCGCCUGUGACGAAGCGUGAGUGACGGUAAUGGGUAAAGAAGCACCGGCUAACUACGUGCCAGCAGCCGCGGUGAUACGUAGGGUGCGAGCGUUGUCCGGAUUUAUUGGGCGUAAAGGGCUCGUAGGUGGUUGAUCGCGUCGGAAGUGUAAUCUUGGGGCUUAACCCUGAGCGUGCUUUCGAUACGGGUUGACUUGAGGAAGGUAGGGGAGAAUGGAAUUCCUGGUGGAGCGGUGGAAUGCGCAGAUAUCAGGAGGAACACCAGUGGCGAAGGCGGUUCUCUGGGCCUUUCCUGACGCUGAGGAGCGAAAGCGUGGGGAGCGAACAGGCUUAGAUACCCUGGUAGUCCACGCUGUAAACGGUGGGUACUAGGUGUGGGGUCCAUUCCACGGGUUCCGUGCCGUAGCUAACGCUUUAAGUACCCCGCCUGGGGAGUACGGCCGCAAGGCUAAAACUCGAAGGAAUUGACGGGGCCCCGCACAAGCGGCGGAGCAUGCGGAUUAAUUCGAUGCAACGCGUAGAACCUUACCUGGGUUUGACAUGGAUCGGGAGUGCUCAGAGAUGGGUGUGCCUCUUUUGGGGUCGGUUCACAGGUGGUGCAUGGCUGUCGUCGGCUCGUGUCGUGAGAUGUUGGGUUAAGUCCCGCAACGAGCGCAACCCUUGUUCACUGUUGCCAGCACGUUAUGGUGGGGACUCAGUGGAGACCGCCGGGGUCAACUCGGAGGAAGGUGGGGAUGACGUCAAGUCAUCAUGCCCCUUAUGUCCAGGGCUUCACGCAUGCUACAAUGGCUGGUACAGAGAGUGGCGAGCCUGUGAGGGUGAGCGAAUCUCGGAAAGCCGGUCUCAGUUCGGAUUGGGGUCUGCAACUCGACCUUAUGAAGUCGGAGUCGCUAGUAAUCGCAGAUCAGCAACGCUGCGGUGAAUACGUUCCCGGG
RNAcentral lists this ribosomal RNA (1343 nucleotides) under uncultured bacterium. RNAcentral's name for it is "16S ribosomal RNA". It matches the Rfam family "Bacterial small subunit ribosomal RNA", at positions 28 to 1378 of the family's 1533-position model. The record is from RNAcentral.